GACGAAGGAUGCAAGCGUUAUCCGGAUUCAUUGGGUUUAAAGGGAGCGUAGGCGGCCCUGUAAGUCAGUGGUGAAAUCUUUGGGCUUAACCCAAAAAUUGCCAUUGAUACUGCAGGGCUUGAGUACAGUUGCUGUGGGCGGAAUAUGACAUGUAGUGGUGAAAUACAUAGAGAUGUCAUAGAACACCGAUUGCGAAGGCAGCUCACAAAACUGUAACUGACGCUGAGGCUCGAAAGUGCGGGGAUCAAACAGG
Molecule: ribosomal RNA, 253 nt
Filed under: uncultured bacterium
Lineage: Bacteria
Description: partial 16S ribosomal RNA
Rfam family: Bacterial small subunit ribosomal RNA
Source: RNAcentral